AGUUUAGCAAAAAUUAAAUCAGUACAAAUCACAUGCCAGUACUCAACUUGAUUUUCUGGACUAAUGGAAGGGAAAAGAAGUAUGAAUGAAUCUGAAGCAAGAGGGUAAUUUAGAAAAAUUAUAUUUGAUUUUAGAAUUCAGCCAGAGGAACAUGAACCACAGACGUUCAUCACCCUUCCCAGGACCAAGUUCAUUUUCAGCAGUCCAGGUGGGAUGACCAGAAAUGAACUAUGGAUCAGAUCAUCUCCACAGAAAGAAAUCCUGUGCUUUGAGGGGUAAUUUUGUGAUACCCUAAUUGAUAUAUAUCCCGCUUGCAAAAGGCAGAUCACUCAUUUUUUAGGAAAGCCAGCUGCCAUGUUGUGAAGACACUCACGCAGCUCUUCGGAGAGUAGAGGGACCCAGAUGAGGAGGAACUGAGGCUUCCUGCCAAAACCCAGCACCAGUGUGCCAGUAAUAUAUAAAAGUCACCUUGGAAAUAAAUCCUUCAGCCCUGGUCAAGCCUUCAGACAGACCAAGCAACUGGCUGCUGAUUCUGCACUCUGCUCCCCUACGUGGGCCUCUCACCACCGUGGCCUCUCCCAUCAUGGAGCACAGGCUCCGGACGCACAGGCCCAGUGGCCACGGCCCACAGGCCCAGCCGCUCUGCAGCAUGUGGGACCCUCCCGGACUGGGGCACGAACUUGUACCCCCCGCAUCGGCAGGCGGACUCUCAACCACUGCGCCACCAGGUAAGCCCCCUUCUGCCCCUUUUUUAAUUGGGUUGUUUGUUUUGUUAUUGAGUUGUAUGAGCUGUUUAUAUAUUUUGGAAAUUAAGCCCUUGUAGGUUGCAUCCUUUGCAAAUA
This is a long non-coding RNA of Physeter macrocephalus (sperm whale), 842 nucleotides long. RefSeq lists it as uncharacterized. Lineage: Eukaryota; Metazoa; Chordata; Mammalia; Artiodactyla; Physeteridae. The record is from RefSeq and is a predicted model, not a curated record. The transcript is spliced from 5 exons.